CUCUCUAAGUUUGGUACAUAAAUGUCCUAUCCAGUCGCUAGGACAAAGGGAAAUCUUGGGGGUGGUGUUCGGAAAGGGGUUUUGCGCUGUGGCCAGAGGGGAGCGAAAUAGCCCCAGCAAGAAAUCUGCAGUCCUGGGAGCGAGAGGUUGGAAAAUUCAACUCUGCAAGCCUGGCAUUGUUAGCACAGGGGGUGCUGCCAGAGUCCCCUCACCUCCAACAACGUCAGAGGAGGGAGAAAAGGACUGGACAGGAGCAUGGUGAAGGGGACAGGGAAGAGAAGCCAAGCAGUUAGACACCCAACUUGGAGAGGAGAGGCAGGGUCCUGCCAGGACCCGGGACACUCAAGGAUCCUGAGAGGAGCAAACUAAGAUGAUAUCAGAAAGGAUACUGGCUCCAGAUCACACAAAGGCUUAAGAUGACCGGACUUCAAAUAUAUAACUCUGGCCAUGAU
Canis lupus familiaris (dog) is the source of this 452-nucleotide long non-coding RNA. RefSeq lists it as uncharacterized. NCBI's taxonomy places the organism in Eukaryota, Metazoa, Chordata, Mammalia, Carnivora, Canidae. The transcript is spliced from 3 exons. The record is from RefSeq and is a predicted model, not a curated record.